GACGAACGCUGGCGGCGUGCCUAAUACAUGCAAGUCGAACGCAUUUUCUUUCACCGUAGCUUGCUACACCGAAAGAAAAUGAGUGGCGAACGGGUGAGUAACACGUGGGUAACCUGCCCAUCAGCGGGGGAUAACACUUGGAAACAGGUGCUAAUACCGCAUAAUUCCAUUUACCGCAUGGUAGAUGGGUGAAAGGCGCUUUUGCGUCACUGAUGGAUGGACCCGCGGUGCAUUAGCUAGUUGGUGGGGUAACGGCCUACCAAGGCUGCGAUGCAUAGCCGACCUGAGAGGGUGAUCGGCCACACUGGGACUGAGAAACGGCCCAGACUCCUACGGGAGGCAGCAGUAGGGAAUCUUCGGCAAUGGACGCAAGUCUGACCGAGCAACGCCGCGUGAGUGAAGAAGGUUUUCGGAUCGUAAAACUCUGUUGUUAGAGAAGAACAAGGAUGAGAGUGGAAAGUUCAUCCCUUGACGGUAUCUAACCAGAAAGCCACGGCUAACUACGUG
RNAcentral lists this ribosomal RNA (507 nucleotides) under uncultured bacterium. RNAcentral's name for it is "partial 16S ribosomal RNA". It matches the Rfam family "Bacterial small subunit ribosomal RNA", at positions 28 to 507 of the family's 1533-position model. The record is from RNAcentral.